AUUGAACGCUGGCGGCAGGCCUAACACAUGCAAGUCGAGCGGAUGAAGGGAGCUUGCUCCUGGAUUCAGCGGCGGACGGGUGAGUAAUGCCUAGGAAUCUGCCUGGUAGUGGGGGAUAACGUCCGGAAACGGGCGCUAAUACCGCAUACGUCCUGAGGGAGAAAGUGGGGGAUCUUCGGACCUCACGCUAUCAGAUGAGCCUAGGUCGGAUUAGCUAGUUGGUGGGGUAAAGGCCUACCAAGGCGACGAUCCGUAACUGGUCUGAGAGGAUGAUCAGUCACACUGGAACUGAAACACGGUCCAGACUCCUACGGGAGGCAGCAGUGGGGAAUAUUGGACAAUGGGCGAAAGCCUGAUCCAGCCAUGCCGCGUGUGUGAAGAAGGUCUUCGGAUUGUAAAACACUUUAAGUUGGGAGGAAGGGCAGUAAGUUAAUACCUGGCUUUUUUGACGUUACCAACAGAAUAAGCACCGGCUAACUUCGUG
RNAcentral lists this ribosomal RNA (484 nucleotides) under uncultured bacterium. Its description in RNAcentral is "partial 16S ribosomal RNA". It matches the Rfam family "Bacterial small subunit ribosomal RNA", at positions 30 to 507 of the family's 1533-position model. The record is from RNAcentral.